UUUAAUGUUAUACAAAUGUCACAUUGCAUGUAAAUAUAUUACCGGUACUUUGAUAACUAACAAGCAAACACAUAUUGCAAGUAUACAAGUACAGUGUAUUUGUUCAGCUUUAUUUUUAUUACAAUAAAAACACAAUAAUCUUAAAGAAACAAACACGAUAACAAUUGAUAUCCACUAACAUAGUUUGAAAAAUAAAAUAAAGUAUGGCUUUCAAGGGGGAAUAACUUAAAAUUAAUAUAAAAAACAAAAUUUAAAGUGACUAUGUUUGACCAUUGGUCAAAGAUUGGAAAGAAUUUGUAGACUACUUCAAGAUAUGUUGCAGAUUAUGAUAAUCAGAUCAAAUCAAAGCAAUAUAUUAAAAAAUUUUCAGUUUUUUUAUUACAGAUGGACACGAUUGAAGGGUCACUUUUUAUUAUCCAAAAAUCAUUUAGCAUCAAGACGGGGCAAAGGCUUAUUUCAACAAGAAUGUGUCCAAAGUACACGGAUGCCCCACUCACACUAUCAUUUUCCAUGUCCAAUGGAGCAUGAAAUUGGAAAAAAAUAUAAUUAGGCAUUAAAAUAGAAAGAUAAUAUCAUAGGGAACAUUGUACUAGUUUCAAGUUGAUUGACUUCAACUUCAUCAAAUACCUUGACCAAAAAUUUAACUGAACAUGCACUUUCAUUUUUAUGUUCGUGCCGUGAAUUGGGGUAAAAGUUUAAUUUGGCUUUAAAUUAGAAAGAUCAUAUCAUAAGGACAUGUGUAUAAGUUCAAGUUGAUUGGACUUCAACUUCAUCAAAAAAUACCUUGACCAAAAACAAAACUUUAACCUGAAACAUGCACUUCCAUUUUCUAUGUUCAGUGGACCGUGAAAUUGGGGUCAAAAGUUCAAUUUGGCUUUAAAAUUAGAAAGAUCAUAUCAUAAGGAACAUUUGUACUAAGUUUCAAGUUGAUUGGACUUCAACUUCAUCAAAAACUACCUUACCAAAAUUUACCUGAAACUGAACGAAUGCACUUUCUUUUCUAUGUUCAGUGACCGUAAUGGUCAAAGUUUAAUUUGGCUUAAAAUUAAGAAAGAUCAUAUCAUAGGGAACUGUGUACAAGUUUGAAGCGAUUGGACUUCAACUUCAUCAAAAACUACCUCGACCAAAAACUUUAACCUGAAGCGGGACAGACGGACGAACGAACGGACGAACGGACGCACAGACCAGAAAACAUAAUGCCCCUAUGUGGGGCAUAAAAAUAAGAAGAGCACUCGUUCUGUGUAAUUUUCUAUUAAUACAAGUAACUUAGUGACACUUAUUCAUAUCUUAAACAAGAAUGUGUCCACAGUACACGAUAUCCCCACUCACACUAUCAUUUUCUAUGUUUAAAGGACUGUGAAAUUGGAAUAAAUUCUCUAAAUUUGGUAUUAAAAUUAGAAUGAUCUUAUCAAAGGGAACAUGUAUACUAAGUUUCAAGUUGAUUGGACUUCUACUUUAUCAAAAACUACCUUGACCAAAAACUUUAACCUGAAAUUUGCACUAUCAUUUUCUAUGUCAGUGAACCGUAAAAUUGGGGUCAAAACUCUAAUUUGGCAUUUAAAUUAGAAAGAUCAUAUCAUAGGGCACAUGUAUACUAAGUUUCAAGUUGAUUGGACUUCAACUUCAUCAAAAAACUACCUUGACCAAAAACUUUAACCUGAAGCCAAAAACUUUAACCUGAAAUUUGCACUAUCAUUUUCUAUGUUCAUUGAACCGUAAAAUUGGGGUCAAAACUCUAAUUUGGCAUUUAAAUUAG
RNAcentral lists this long non-coding RNA (1756 nucleotides) under Mytilus galloprovincialis (Mediterranean mussel). Lineage: Eukaryota; Metazoa; Mollusca; Bivalvia; Mytilida; Mytilidae. The record is from RNAcentral.